This 1075-nucleotide ribosomal RNA is filed under the name uncultured Ornithinicoccus sp. RNAcentral's name for it is "bacterial SSU rRNA". It matches the Rfam family "Bacterial small subunit ribosomal RNA", at positions 328 to 1402 of the family's 1533-position model. Lineage: Bacteria; Bacillati; Actinomycetota; Actinomycetes; Micrococcales; Intrasporangiaceae. The record is from RNAcentral.
CAUAUGGAUUCCUACGGGAGGCAGCAGUGGGGAAUAUUGCACAAUGGGCGAAAGCCUGAUGCAGCGACGCCGCGUGAGGGAUGAAGGCCUUCGGGUUGUAAACCUCUUUCAGCAGGGAAGAAGCAGCCGGGUUUUCUUGGUUGUGACGGUACCUGCAGAAGAAGCACCGGCUAACUACGUGCCAGCAGCCGCGGUAAUACGUAGGGUGCAAGCGUUGUCCGGAAUUAUUGGGCGUAAAGAGCUUGUAGGCGGUUUGUCGCGUCUGCUGUGAAAUUUCGGGGCUCAACCCCGAACUUGCAGUGGGUACGGGCAGACUAGAGUGUGGUAGGGGAGACUGGAAUUCCUGGUGUAGCGGUGAAAUGCGCAGAUAUCAGGAGGAACACCGAUGGCGAAGGCAGGUCUCUGGGCCACUACUGACGCUGAGAAGCGAAAGCAUGGGGAGCGAACAGGAUUAGAUACCCUGGUAGUCCAUGCCGUAAACGUUGGGAACUAGGUGUGGGCCUCAUUCCACGAGGUCCGUGCCGCAGCUAACGCAUUAAGUUCCCCGCCUGGGGAGUACGGCCGCAAGGCUAAAACUCAAAGGAAUUGACGGGGGCCCGCACAAGCGGCGGAGCAUGCGGAUUAAUUCGAUGCAACGCGAAGAACCUUACCAAGGCUUGACAUGUGCCGGUAAAGUGCAGAGAUGUGCUCCCCGCAAGGUCGGUACACAGGUGGUGCAUGGUUGUCGUCAGCUCGUGUCGUGAGAUGUUGGGUUAAGUCCCGCAACGAGCGCAACCCUCGUUCUAUGUUGCCAGCACGUGAUGGUGGGGACUCAUAGGAGACUGCCGGGGUCAACUCGGAGGAAGGUGGGGAUGACGUCAAAUCAUCAUGCCCCUUAUGUCUUGGGCUUCACGCAUGCUACAAUGGCCAGUACAAAGGGCUGCGAUACCGCAAGGUGGAGCGAAUCCCAAAAAACUGGUCUCAGUUCGGAUUGGGGUCUGCAACUCGACCCCAUGAAGUCGGAGUCGCUAGUAAUCGCAGAUCAGCAACGCUGCGGUGAAUACGUUCCCGGGCCUUGUACACACCGCCAUCGGAU